GGAUCAACUGGCUUGUCUGUGUUUCCUGAAUGUAUGUUUUACCAUUUUUGCCCUGGAUAUUUGGCAGGAAGCUGGCCUGGAGGACUGGAGCCCAUUGCGGUGUAUCCUCUUGUCUGAGCCCCACAGUCUCCCCGAGGAGCCAGCAUCCUGUGCUGUAUGGGCCAGAGUGUGCUGAGCAAGGGAAGGAAUCCCAUGCUUUUGGCCUCAUUUUCUCUUGAUAGGUAAGACCCACCAUGGCAGUUCCUUACCUCCCAUGCAAAGUCAGUUACUUCCCUGAGGCUAGACCUAGAGCUCAGUGUUUGGCCCUGCCUACCCUCCUUCAUUCCAUAGAUGCCAUGCACAGAAGUCCAGAAUCAUGGGUCUCAGACUGGCCUACAACACCCCUAAGUAGGAGUUCUUCAUCCUUUUAAGGGGGAUUCCCACAGCCCUCUUCACGUCCUCUACUGGGCCAAACUUUCACAAUAUAAAAACCUAUUACUGAUUAGAGCAAUAGCUCAAAAGCUAAGCCAAAAUGGCGCUAGGUGCUUCACACACACAAUCUCAUUUAGUCCUCACAACAACCCUUUGGAGUAGGGAAUACUUAUACCCAUUGUUAUUGAUGAGAAAACCGAGGCUCUAAAACGCUGUAGUAUUGGCCAGGGAAACAGAACUAAUAAGUAGACUCAGGUCUGUUUGUCUUCGCCACUCAAUCAUUAACCUAUACUUUCUUUCUUCUUUUAAUUACUCUGUAACUCUUGGACCUACCCAUGGUCUGGAUCUGGAAUAUUAUGGAUACUGAUGAAUGCUUAUCUCUGUUGAUACUUGCUUCAUAAAGAUUUCGCUAAGAAGCAAAUUCUCUUCAGUCUGUUUGGGUCCCAAACCUGUCCUAUUUUCUGCCUGUGUGACCUUGAAUAACUUGCUUAACUAAAGUCUCAAGUCUUAGGUCUGAAAAAUAUACAGAUUUCAUAGGGCUUUUUAAAAAUUAUUUAAAAACGUUUAAAAUGUUUAUUUAUUUUUGAGAGAGAGAGAGAGAGAGAGAGAGCGCGCAAUUGGGGGAAGGGCAGAGGGAGACACAGAAUUUGAAACAGGCUCCAGUCUCUCAGCUGUCAGCACAGAGCCCAGCACAGGGCUUGAACUCACAAACCAUGAGAUCAUGACCAGAGCCUAAGUUGGAUGCUUAACUGACUGAGUCACCCAGGAGCCCCCAUGGGGCUUGUUUUAACGGCUAAAGGAGAUGAGACAUGCAGAGGGCUUGGCACCCACUGUAAGCCAUCCUCUCAGGGGCCUCAUUGUGGUACAUUUGGAGCUCCAUGCCUGGCAGCAAGCAAUGUCCCUGUGAAGUAUGAAUCAAUGAAGUGUUUUCUGUUCCAAACACAAACCCAUGUCCUUUCCAUCCCUGCAAAUUGUACGUGGUUGCUUGUGACAAUCAUCCCAACUGCUGAUUUCAGUUUUGUCUUCUCUUGCAACCCAGCCUUCUCACCUGUUGGUGUCAGUUGUGAAGGGAAACACAGUGUAGACUACCAAAUCCUGCUUUCUUUUUAGUCCAGGUGCCCAAGCCCUGGAUUUUCCAAAUGCCUUGUUUCUUUGGAUCUUUAGACGUGAGCAGAGGAGCAGGAAAGAGAGACCAAAACUGGAAUUGACUCCUUAAAGCCUUGGUCUGCUUUUCGGUCCCUCCUACUUCCAUUCUUCCCCCCAACACACACAAAAGAAUCCUAGGUUAUCUCCCAGAAGCUGCAAGCAGGGUGAGGUAAUAAAACAGAUGACUGCCUGCCCCAUGUGAUGGCGGGUGAAUCAUCCCCAGGCAUUCUGCAAGGCUGAAGACAAACGUGAAAGGGAUUAAAGGUAAAACCAGCCCAGCCACGUGAUAGGGCAAACUGGACAUUAUUCUACAGGUGACUAAACUGCAGGAAUGUGAACUGAAGACAAGAAGCCCAGCCUCUCCCGGCCUUCCUCCUGGGGCUGUGUCUGGCUGCCCGUGAGCUGAGUCGGAGGCAUGGCCAGUACCGGAGCUGAGCAGAAGUGACUAUAGGACAAGACUUUCUUCGUGUACUUUCACAUCCAGUGGCCCAUAGGAGACACUUGAGCCCAGGACAGGUUCUCUUGUUUUGUUUUUUUUUUUUUUAAAGCUUAUUUAUUUAUUUUUUCAAUAUGUGAAAUUUAUUGUCAAAUUGGUUUCCAUACAGCACCCAGUGCUCACCCCAAAAUCUCUUGUUUUUUAAAAAGACGCCCACUUAAAACCUUGCCCCCUCUGCAUGAGCAAAGAAGAAAGGCCAGUUUGCACAUAUGUGUUUCAGAGAAUGUUUGAGUGGCAGGGUAACAUAUUUCAUGAAGAUGGUAAGGAGGAGAAAUGAAGCUUAAAAAAAAAAAAAGGAACAGAAAUGUCAGCAGUAGUUUCUUGUUAGCUUCUAAAUUCUUCAGGGAAAUGAAGGCUGUGAAGACCUCUGCUGAGAUUUUUCUUCCUAUUCCAUGUUUGUAACUCCCUGCCUCAUGCUGUCCUUCCCACACAUACUUCCUUUUGUAUGAUUGAGCCCAGAAUGUCCCUUUUCUAUAGCCAUGCAUUAUUUGAGGUUCAUAACUGGGCUCAUGGACUGUUCUUUUCAAUGAUGGGAAACAUGUCCUAAGCCGGAGAAAAUUGGGCUUGAAGAAACCUUGGCAAUAGGAGAACCGAGGUAGAAGAGAUGGCUUUUUAAUUUAUUUCUGGGUCCUCAGUGCUUAAUACAGUGCUUGAAAAUAAAUCAAAAUAAGUCUAGCACAGCCUACUCAUUUUACAAGUAGAAGGGGUGUCUGAAUAAUGACUCAUUGCCCUUGUUUUUACCAGUUCCAUUUUACAGAUGUGUAAACUGAGAUUCUAAGACAUAAGGUGACUUUCUUGCAGUGACAUAGCAUAUAAUAGAGUCAAGAUUCCAACUCAGCUCCUUCUAGUAAGUAGGUUUUGGCUUCUGAAUUCAUAACUGUGUGGGCUCUAGAGUGUCAGUGAAAGAGGAACUUCAGGACACAGUCUGGUUGGAAGGGGGUAGAGGAGUAUCCAGGAGAUUAUCUUGAACUCCUGCUUUCAUUUGAAUUGCUUAUCUACUUGGAGUGGCUGGACAUGGGAGCCGGCAUACUGAGGUCAUAGCUGAGUUUACAAUGAGAGGGCAGGAUUGAGGCAGGGGUUCUGAGUUCUAAGCAGAAGAUAGACCAGCCUGAUUCUUUACCUCUACCAGUGCUUUCAACAAGACCCUCCUGGGGGAUUAGGUAUCAGCGGUUCGAAGCCCAAGCUGUCACCAUUGGAAGGAGGAGCACUUUUCUCCCCAUGCUGCCUGCCUCUCUCCCCCCUUUUUAUCCCUUUCUUGUUCAUUUACUAACUGAACUGGAUUUCUUCUGGACAGGAGGCUACCCUGGGGCUGGUAGGAGAGGUUUUGACUUUCCCAUCCAAGAGUCUUCUGGGUACUGGGGGCUAGGAGCUGUUGAGUCUUUCCCUGGAGGAUGAGGAAAUGAAUUCUGCACUGAAGGAGGAGGUGGAGAUCUCAGUUUCAAGGGUGGGGGUGUGGAGAGGAGAGAGAGAGUGUGAGCAGAGGGAGGGAGUUCCUGCAGAGCAGUGCUUUCCUCUGCCCCCACCCCAGCAGCAGCAGAGGAGCCCUGGUGGGAAAUAGGGG
Molecule: long non-coding RNA, 3614 nt
Filed under: Lynx pardinus (Iberian lynx)
Lineage: Eukaryota; Metazoa; Chordata; Mammalia; Carnivora; Felidae
Source: RNAcentral